GACGAACGCUGGCGGCGUGCUUAACACAUGCAAGUCGAACGGAAAUGCCCUGCUUUUGUGGGGUGCUCGAGUGGCGAACGCGUGAGUAACACGUGAUUAACCUGCCCUUGACUUUGGGAUUACUUCAGGAAACUGGGGCUAAUACCCGAUAGUAGCUCCUGCUGCAUGGUGGGGGUUGGAAAGUUUCGGCGGUUGGGGAUGGACUCGCGGCUUAUCAGCUUGUUGGUGGGGUAGUGGCUUACCAAGGCUUUGACGGGUAGCCGGCCUGAGAGGGUGACCGGCCACAUUGGGACUGAGAUACGGCCCAGACUCCUACGGGAGGCAGCAGGGGGGAAUAUUGCACAAUGGGCGGAAGCCUGAUGCAGCAACGCCGCGUGCGGGAUGACGGCCUUCGGGUUGUAAACCGCUUUCGCCUGUGACGAAGCGUGAGUGAUGGUAAUGGGUAAAGAAGCACCGGCUAACUACGUG
Molecule: ribosomal RNA, 468 nt
Filed under: uncultured bacterium
Lineage: Bacteria
Description: partial 16S ribosomal RNA
Rfam family: Bacterial small subunit ribosomal RNA
Source: RNAcentral